CAGUUGGAGUUUAUGACAAAACAGCCCGAUACUGGAGAAUUAAAUCAAAAAAUCAUGCCAUGAGCAUUCAUGCUUUUGACCUUAAUUCUGAUGGAGUGAAUGAACUGAUAACUGGUUGGUCCAAUGGGAAGGUUGAUGCUCGAAGUGACCGAACUGGGGAGGUCAUCUUUAAGGACAAUUUUUCUUCUGCAAUUGCCGGUGUGGUAGAGGGAGAUUACCGGAUGGAUGGCCACGUACAUCCGGGGCUACCUGCCUGGCACGGCUGAGAUGAGGGGGAACCUCAUGGACACCAGCGUAGAGCAGGACCUGAUCCGAGAGCUGAGUCAGAAGAAGCAGAAUCUGUUGUUGGAACUCCGUAACUAUGAGGAAAACGCCAAGGUAGGUCCUAAUGUGACCGGGUAAUGGAGGCUGAAAUGUUGAGACUGACCAGGAGGAUCAGCAAAUAUGGAAGCAUGAGAGUGUCAUUG
Molecule: small RNA, 467 nt
Filed under: Pongo abelii (Sumatran orangutan)
Lineage: Eukaryota; Metazoa; Chordata; Mammalia; Primates; Hominidae
Description: retained intron
Source: RNAcentral